Molecule: ribosomal RNA, 468 nt
Filed under: uncultured bacterium
Lineage: Bacteria
Description: partial 16S ribosomal RNA
Rfam family: Bacterial small subunit ribosomal RNA
Source: RNAcentral
GACGAACGCUGGCGGCGUGCUUAACACAUGCAAGUCGAACGGAAAGUCCCUGCUUAUGGGGGGUGCUCGAGUGGCGACCUGGUGAGUUACCCGUGAGUAACGUGCACUUGACUUUGGGGUAACUUCAUGACAGUUGGGCUAAUAGCGGCUAGGAGCUCCUGCUGCUUGGUGGGGGUUGGUUAGUUUAGCCGGUUGGUGAUGGAAUCGCGGCUCAUCAGCUUGAUGCUUGGGUAGUGGAUUACCAAGGCCUUGACGGGUAGCCGUCCUGAGAGGGUGACCGGCCACAUUGGGCCUGAACUGAGGCACAGACUCCAACGGGACGCAGCGGUGGGGUGUAGAGCACUAUGGGCUGAAGCCUGACGCAGCAACGCCGCGUGCGGGAAGACAGCCUUCGGGUUGGAAUGCGCUGUCGCCUGUGACGAAGCGUGAAUGACGGUAACGGGUAAAGAAGCUCCGGCUAACUACGUG